This is a long non-coding RNA of Macrosteles quadrilineatus (aster leafhopper), 5700 nucleotides long. RefSeq lists it as uncharacterized. NCBI's taxonomy places the organism in Eukaryota, Metazoa, Arthropoda, Insecta, Hemiptera, Cicadellidae. The transcript is spliced from 3 exons. The record is from RefSeq and is a predicted model, not a curated record.
UUGGCUGGCUACUGCUGUGAGGCGAGAAGUAUCAACAAUCCGUUUCGUUCAGUUUUAGAUUUCACAAGAAAAUUAGACUUAAUCCGUAAAUAAGUGUAUAGUUAUACUGUUUAAAGGAUAUAUUAUUUGUGCUUGAUUGUUGUUGUGUUGUUGAAUCGAUGAUACGAUGGGCUUUAUGUCAUCAUCAUGUACGUCAAUGUUAACAAUAACACAACUCCUUUGUCUAAAUCAUGUUUAUGCAGAUUUUUGCGAAUUUAUGAUUUGUCAUCCAUCUGAGCAGUACUGCUGUGGGGAUAACAAAUGUUGCAAUUACUACAACUAUAGCACAUGGUACUUAUGGGGCAUAGCUGCGCUGAUUGGGCUGUUGUUGGUGGCUUUGUACUACAUCUCCCGUUUAAAUUCCUGCAGGGAUCGGGACCCAGAAAGUGAUAAAGCUCCUAUUGUCAUCAGAUAGGAACCCCAUCCCCAGGAGUUUUGAGUUUAGCAAAUUAGAAUCUGUAAUCUGUCAAUACAAUUGUUGUAAAUGUUUGAUAUAUGAAUAGUAUAUUGUGUACUUAAUAACUGCAAAAGCUCAUACUGUUAAGCUUUAAAAUAAUAUUCUGAUCUUUCUAUUUGUUUUCUAUAAUCUUCAAUCAUAGUCGGUGUAUGAAUUUAUUAAUUGAAUUAUUUUAAACCUAUGAAUUUGUGUUUGUUCAUGACACGUCUCUAGUUUGUAAUGGGCUUGCAAAUAAAUUAUUAAUUUAUUUCAUACUUAUGUAAGCCCAAUACAUUUUUGGAGCCUAAAACCCUCUUUAAAAUAUUUACCUAUUCUGCAUUUAGGCAAUUAAUUAAUUAGAUAAUUUUAUUCUUAAAAAACAAGAUUGUAAGAUUGUACCUUACUUAUCUUUUUAUUUUUGUAAUUUUAACACAGUUGUAUAAUUGAUUUAGGAUGCAACGUAGUAAUGUAUUUAUUUAUAUUCAAUGAUUAUAGUUUGGCAUGUUUACUCUAUAACUUAUACAAUUGAAAUAAUGGCUUUACCUUAAAAUUGAUCAGUCCAAACUUUAUUUUUCCAUGAAAUUUCAUAUUCCGACAAAGACUUUAAUCCCAAAAUGUCAAGUUUCUAUGUACAAUGAUACCAUUCAUUCCAAGUUUAUGUUAAACCAUUACCUGUUAUUAUUGUGGUUUAAGAUUGACUGAUGUAUUAGCUUUAUUCAUAUUUAAAUAAUUUAUUAAAAUUUGCAUUAAUACCUUUUAGCCUACUAUAUUUUAGUGACAACUAUGUCACAUCAUAUCAAACAACGUGCUAUCUUACAGGGACAUUUCCAUUAAACAAAUUAUUGUGUUCUAAUAACAACUGUUUUCCUCCAACUAACUAGGUACUUGUGAAUAAUAUCAAGGCCCCACUAGAAAAACAGGCCAUGCUGCAGGAUCCAUGACGUCACACUAGUGGAUUCAUUGAUAGAUUCACUGCCAUAUCCCAUAUGUUUUUGGUAAAUGAGCUGGCUGUUGUCAGAUUUUAAUGGUAAGAGUUUAGUGUCGUCUAUCCACCACUGUGACAUAGUCAGUGGCGGACUUACCUACGGCGCCGCCUUGGGUUUCGCGAAAAAAAAAGGUUUCAACGUAUAAGCGAGAUUAAAUUUCCCGUUGUUGGCUUAUACGUUGGGUUAUACGUUCCCGCUUAUUAAUGCAUUAUUCCAAGAAAGACAUAGUACAAUAUGAGUACAUUAUAUUAAAGUUGUAUGUAUAUGUUUUAAGAAAAACAUAUAUUUUGUGGUUGAGGCAAGAAUGAAUAUGAAUAGCCCAAAUUAAUCGCCGGACGUAUUGCCGUUCUUGAUUUUAAAUUUAGCAUUCAAAACAGCUUACAAUAAUUUUACUUAUAAUGAACUGUGUUGUCACAUCUUCAUAUGAGUUGUGUAUAUAAUCUUAUAAUGUAACAUUUAACUUCAACUUUAAAGAAAUAGAGGGGCCCUUUAUUUAUUUUAUGUUUAGGAUCUUACUCAAAACACAAUUUUAUCUGAUUAGAUUUCACGAUUCUAUGCAGUUAUUUGUUAUACUGUUACAAUUUAUGCAUUAAAUAAAUAAAUUGUACAAGUAUAAGUACGGCUUUUUGGAUAUUAUGACUGUCGGCCAGGCGCCCCUAGGCAUGUGCCUAGUCCGCCUUACGGUAAGUCCACCACUGGACGUAGUGUUGUGUUGCAGCAUGGCCUGUUUUUCUAGUGACCCCUUAAUAAUAUGACCAGCUGUUUUGUUUUUAUCAAAAUCCAGCCGCACAACACCCAGGCAUUCCCCCCAGGAAUUCCUUAUAAGUCAUUUGAUUUAAUGGAAAUGCACCUUAUAAAGAUUGAAAAAUCAUAGACAACAUAAUUAAAUAUAGACUGACAAAGGAAGGUUCCGCGAUGUGCUGCUAGAGCUUGCUCAGUGUUCCGUCGAUUUGCUGCCGUCGUCAACUCGCCAUCUGCUACCAGCACUACCACCCUUGCAAACAAAAUGCUACCAACGUAUCAGAUCCACUGUUCAAUAUGGGUAAAGUACAAAAUCCCGUAACUUAAACAAAAAAGACGUUUUUUUCCCCAGAAAUUUUAAACACGCAGAAAAAUAACAGAACAAACUCCAACUCCCCGGAUUCCUGGGAAUUCUCCAGAAGUUGGUAACACUGGCUCCAACUACCAAGUUGUCAUGGCAACGCUUGCUAGCACUUGAUACUGCAGCAGAAUGCGCUGAAACUAAACGGCACUCCUAACGGUGGACGCGAAAAUAUAUGCUAACUGCAGCACUGCUGUCAGUCUAUAUUUCUUUAAUUCUUAUUUUGUCUAUGGUAAAACACACUUAGGCAACUUAACUUAUCUCUAUUAGUACAAAUGAGAUUAUCUACCUGUAUCCAACUACUCUGUAUCCCGGUUAUAUUGUAGACUCUAGUUUGUUGUUAACUGUUAGUGAAAAUGUUGUAAACCUAGUGCCUUGUAAAUGUCCAUGUUCCUUAACAUAGCCAAACAUAGGUUUCAUUACUCACUAGUUUUCAUAUCAGACACAGUUUUAAGGUUCAUUUUCAAUAUUUAGAUUAGCAGGAAAGUUUUUUUAUAAUUGACUUAUUUAGUGGCGUUUCACAAUUAUUUUAGAUUGAUAUUGGGUGGUUGUAGAAAAAAAUUGAAUAUUUAUUUAUGUGAAGGUAUGUAGGGGCGCGUCUCAGAAGGUCCCUACUUACUAGUAACAUCCGAACAAUCCCAUUGUAAUACCAUUGUAGUAACCAUUUGAAGGUUUCAGACAGCAAUCUUGCCAAAUCUCCGUCAGCCUGGACUAAUUUUUGACCCCGCCUCAUCUAAUUCAGGCCUGCCUCUCCAUCACUUCUGUUAUCAGUUUCUUAAGAAGUAUUUGUUGUUUUGUUUAAAUUUCUCAGUGUUUGUGAGCGGAAAUCUAAGAAUCCAAGUAAGUACAGUAAAACCUCUUAACUCAAUAAUUUGCGGUCCCAGAGGUCGUCGAGUUAUCCAGAAUAUUUUAAUAGGUUUUAAUAAAUCAUAACAGUAUAAUUUUUACAGAUAAAUUUAUUUAUUACUUACAUGAGUAUUUUUACAUAUUUAGUAAACAAUCUUCAAAGAAAUGUCGAAUAUUAAACAAUUAAAACUAAAUGUUCUGAAAUAAAUUGCUUUUUGCGUGCGCCCUGUCAGCUGUUUAGUUAACGAGUGUCGUGUUAGUGAGGUUUAACCUUUGACUAUUAAUACAACAAAUAGUCAAUGGUUUAACUGUACAUGAAAAAUGGUAACCUAAUUAUUUGGUUGGCAAGAUCUUUACCCACAAAUAUUCAUCCGAAAUAUUACUUAUUUUUAAAUUUUAAUUGAUAGCAAGGGCUGAUAUGUCAGGGUCUCAGAAUUUCAGUCUCGGUGUAAGUGGUACAGUUUCGACCCGCAGCAAUAACUACAACAAUUUUAGAGGUGUGGCUUUCCCUGAGGGCUGGUGUAGUGGUUAUAGCGUGCGACUUCAGUCCCGGGUUCAAAUCCCGCCAAAUCACCAAUGGAUUUAUCUAAGUGAUAAUGCCGCAACCCCUAGGUCUAGCCUGAAGUAAUGUGAAAAACAAUCCCGGGCUUGUGCCUAGCAUCCUAGGACAAAAAAAAUUAUCAAGUCGAUGGCGCCUUAUAAAGGCGCAUAACAGCCGGAAAGAGGGAGUUUGUAUGUGCGAGUUCUGUGACACUAAACUCAUUGCACUGGCCUGUGCUGGUUGUUCAUUAUUUUUUCUUUCUACUCUUUUUGAAAACCUCUUAUCAUUAAUGUUAAAUGUUGAUCUUAGGGAUAGCAUAUUUAGGACCUAAAUUAGUUUAGUUAAGUACAGGGUGAUAUAAAUAAUAGUGUUUAACAUUUUAAGUUUAAAUAUGAAAUUUUUUUAAACUAUAUGAGUCUAGUUUUUAAAAUAAAUAUGGACGACAAAUUGACCAUUAGAAAUUUGGAUUCAUCAGUGGGUAUGAUGACAAAUUUAUCCCAAAUAAUUAUUUAUUUUGUUAGGUACUUUCCUAUUAAAGAGAACAUUCAUUUACAGUAGACUCCCUCUUAUUCGGACACCUUUUAACCGGACAUCGGUUUAACCGGACUACAUUCGGCGGAAAUGAAAUCUCUUUAACUGGACAAUUUUUAUCAGCACAUUGGUUUAACCGGACUAGAUCAGCAGGAAGUGGGCGGUACUGAAACGACUAUUCUCGUGGGAAAGAAUUGAGACCAGGGACGUAUCUAAGUACAAUGCUGUCCUAAAUUUAAGUUGAAUAUCACAGUAAACGGUCCGUUUUAACGAGUUUUUGGGGACGUCGGUUUAACAGGAAGAACUGUUAUCCGGACUGGUCUCGGUCCCGACGAGUCCGGAUAAGAGGGAGUCUACUGUAUCGAUGAUUUUUAUUUUCCGAUCCAUUACAAAUUGACAACAACUAACUGAUCUUGUUUAGGCUAAAAUAGUCUAUUAUAUGGAUUAAGAAAUGAAACUAUUCUAAGCUAACCUAACAUAACCAACCAAACUUGCUGGACCAUUUAAAAAUUCCGUUUGGGUUUGAUAAGAGAAAAGGCAAGUUAAACACGGAAUGUUUAAAUGUUAUAGCAAGUUUGGUUAGUUAUGUUAGGUUAUUUUUUUUAGAACAGUUUCAUUUCAUUAUUGUUCGUUGAUACUGAACAAUAUUUAUCGCGUAGUUGUCAGCUGAUAUGUUUCAAUUUGUUAAUAUCGAUAUAUCAAGAAAAAAUCAUCAAUAAUAAUGAAUUUUCCGAACAUUCAUUAUUAUGUGCCCUUUAACAGGAAAGUACCUUUUAUUAGUAGUCAACUUUAGUAAUUGCAAUGUUUUAUAUUUACUGUUUGUUCGUUUUCACAUUUGCAACCUUUGGUGGCUUCUACUUGUAAUUAUAGGAGCUCCACUAAAGACAAACAUCCUAGCCACAGUAGUAAAUAUUUCUCGUACCGGUAAUUGAUAUGUAUAAUGAAUUGUGCAUUCUUUUAUGAAAAUUAAAAUCUACAGCUAAUCAAUAUCCAUCCAUAAAUUUUCAAAAAUAAUCUAGUCUAUUUGCAAAAAUCAUACUUUUGUCUGUUGUUUUUUAUCAACCUGUGAUAGUUAACUUUUUGUUCCUAACUUAUUAAGUUGUUUUUUUAAGAUAUUUUAAUCUAACAACUGCAUUCCUGUGCUACAUUAAGACAUUAGAGAUAUUAUUUGAAUUAUAUAAAUGUAUUUGUUGUGCAUUAAAAAUGUAUUCUGUGAUAA